CCUACGGGAGGCAGCAGUGAGGAAUAUUGGUCAAUGGACGCAAGUCUGAACCAGCCAUGCCGCGUGCAGGAAGACGGCUCUAGGAGUUGUAAACUGCUUUUGUACGGGGGUAAACGCAGGUACGUGUAUCUGUUUGAAUGUACCGUAUGAAUAAGGAUCGGCUAACUCCGUGCCAGCAGCCGCGGUAAUACGGAGGAUUCAAGCGUUAUCCGGAUUUAGUGGGUUUAAAGGGAGCGUAGGCGGUUGGAUAAGUUAGAGGUGAAAUCCCGAGGCUCAACCGCAGAAUUGCAUUUGAUACUGGUCGACUUGAGUGUAGUUGAGGUAGGCGGAAUGCGUGGUGUAGCGGUGAAAUGCUUAGAGAUCACGCAGAACACCGAUUGCGAAGGCAGCUUACUAAGCUGCUACUGACGUUGAGGCUCGAAAGCGUGGGGAGCAAACAGGAUUAGAUACCCUAGUAGUC
Molecule: ribosomal RNA, 460 nt
Filed under: uncultured bacterium
Lineage: Bacteria
Description: partial 16S ribosomal RNA
Rfam family: Bacterial small subunit ribosomal RNA
Source: RNAcentral